UCCCAUAUGGUCUAGCGGUUAGGAUUUCUGGUUUUCACCCAGACGGCACAGGAUUUGACUCCCGGUAUGGGAA
RNAcentral lists this transfer RNA (73 nucleotides) under Nematostella vectensis (starlet sea anemone). It matches the Rfam family "tRNA". Rfam says of the family: Transfer RNA (tRNA) molecules are approximately 80 nucleotides in length. Their secondary structure includes four short double-helical elements and three loops (D, anti-codon, and T loops). Further hydrogen bonds mediate the characteristic L-shaped molecular structure. tRNAs have two regions of fundamental functional importance: the anti-codon, which is responsible for specific mRNA codon recognition, and the 3' end, to which the tRNAs corresponding amino acid is attached (by aminoacyl-tRNA synthetases). tRNAs cope with the degeneracy of the genetic code in two manners: having more than one tRNA (with a specific anti-codon) for a particular amino acid; and 'wobble' base-pairing, i.e. permitting non-standard base-pairing at the 3rd anti-codon position. Lineage: Eukaryota; Metazoa; Cnidaria; Anthozoa; Actiniaria; Edwardsiidae. The record is from Rfam by way of RNAcentral.